RNAcentral lists this ribosomal RNA (496 nucleotides) under uncultured bacterium. RNAcentral's name for it is "partial 16S ribosomal RNA". It matches the Rfam family "Bacterial small subunit ribosomal RNA", at positions 29 to 507 of the family's 1533-position model. The record is from RNAcentral.
AUGAACGCUGGCGGCGUGCCUAAUACAUGCAAGUCGCGCGAACGGACGAGAAGCUUGCUUCUCUGAUGUUAGCGGCGGACGGGUGAGUAACACGUGGAUAACCUACCUAUAAGACUGGGAUAACUUCGGGAAACCGGAGCUAAUACCGGAUAAUAUUUUGAACCGCAUGGUUCAAAAGUGAAAGACGGUCUUGCUGUCACUUAUAGAUGGAUCCGCGCUGCAUUAGCUAGUUGGUAAGGUAACGGCUUACCAAGGCAACGAUGCAUAGCCGACCUGAGAGGGUGAUCGGCCACACUGGAACUGAGACACGGUCCAGACUCCUACGGGAGGCAGCAGUAGGGAAUCUUCCGCAAUGGGCGAAAGCCUGACGAAGCAACGCCGCGUGAGUGAUGAAGGUCUUCGGAUCGUAAAACUCUGUUAUUAGGGAAGAACAUAUGUGUAAGUAACUGUGCACAUCUUGACGGUACCUAAUCAGAAAGCCACGGCUAACUACGUG